Molecule: long non-coding RNA, 796 nt
Organism: Folsomia candida
Lineage: Eukaryota; Metazoa; Arthropoda; Collembola; Entomobryomorpha; Isotomidae
Exons: 3
Source: RefSeq, a predicted model, not a curated record
ACGCGGCAACUUUCAAGUUACAAAUUGAUCUUGGUCAGGUCAAAGUUGCAGCGGGUUACGAUAUAUCGCCAACAGAAAGAGGAGACUCGUCCCAAACGAGGACAAGAUUGACGAAGAGUGCAUCGAAUGAGGUCGUAUCAUCAAAUUGGGUACGAGAAAAGGAGAUCAAAUUUGGAUGUGGCAAGUGUGGCUUUAUUAGCCAAAACGAACGUUUUGGCUGAUAUGACAGUGCAUGUCAGCACAGCCAUUCGGCUCGUCUCCCCUUCCAGUGUGAGGAUCCAUCUUGGGCUUCCUUAUUUGCUUCUCCUCAUUUAAUGACACACACCAUGCAUAACCACACGCCUAAAAUGGGUACCAAGUGUGAUCUCACCUUUUCCUCGUUGGCCAACCUGAACGACCACAAAUCCGCCGUUCAUCACCGGUUCCGCUGCAAAACUUGUGGGGUUGCCUUUCAAGACAAUAAUUUCUAUAAUCACAGAAAGACCUGUGGUAAAUAAGAAGGAGGAUACCUGAGGAAAACGUAAAUGGUGGAAAUAUGUACUACGAUUUAAAUAAAUGCUGUACGGACGGUAAAUUGACCAUGUUCACAAUAUAGAUUUUACCAGAUUAUUUAGAUACGUUCUGGCGAAUGUUAACUACGGAUGGGACUUUUUGAACUAAUCUUAAGGUCUAAGUAUGUAAUGUUCGACUCGUUCGUAUUUAUGUACAUAAGUGGUUAAUUUUCGACAGAUUUAUGUUAUAAUUUAUGUACACCAUACAAAAAAUCUAUUCUUUGUAUUUUAAUACGAAAUAAAUA